This is a long non-coding RNA of Diorhabda sublineata, 786 nucleotides long. RefSeq lists it as uncharacterized. Lineage: Eukaryota; Metazoa; Arthropoda; Insecta; Coleoptera; Chrysomelidae. The record is from RefSeq and is a predicted model, not a curated record. The transcript is spliced from 2 exons.
UAGAACAAAAAGUUGUGUUUGAAUGACGAAAAUUGAAGUAACCAUUUUCAACAUCAUAUUGGAGUCAGAAGCAGAUCACUAAAAGAACGUUGCACGAAAGAAAAUCAAAAAGAAAUAUUUUUCCAACCUAACUCAACUUGGAGAUUCCUCAAUGCCACUCAUUAAUAGGGAAAAGGACCUUUCAACAUGGGACCUAUAAUCUGGCCAAUAAAAACCUGAUUUCAAACCUAAUUUGUCAAUUGAGGUUAUUAUAUGAGGUAAGUGUAAUUUAUCCGUAGUCAUUUUAAGUAAACGGUGUCUAAUAAUUUUAUCGAUACUACAUUGUUUUGCACAAUAAUCUGCUUUUCACUAUCAUUUAAAGCACUUCACUAACUCAAACGGCUUGAUCCUGUUGAGCUUCAAUAAAAUGGGUAUUGUCGAGGAGCUAGAUAACCUCAAAGUUCACUGCUACUGGCUACUGGGGUCUAGUCAACAGUUAGAAACACAUAUUAAAAUCUGAGGUAUUCACCUUGUAUGAAAUCUUUGAAUGCAUCACCAAAUUCUUCGUAAUUAUUUUUAAGAAGAUGUUCUGCUUGAUCUUUUAUGCUAUAGAGGAAAGAUUGUGAAUCCGCAUAAACUUUUCUUCCGUUUUCAGGAAAUUCAUUGGUACCUUUUCGUAAUUGUUGAUUACUCGCAAAAGAACCCACCAUUCCGAAUCUAUAAGAAAUAAAAUAAUAUCUACAAAUAUUUAUUCAGAUGUGUCUCAAGGAUCAAAUAUAUCAAACAAAUAAUGAAAAAAAAAUAAAA